RNAcentral lists this ribosomal RNA (741 nucleotides) under Escherichia coli. Its description in RNAcentral is "partial 23S ribosomal RNA". It matches the Rfam family "Bacterial large subunit ribosomal RNA", at positions 452 to 1194 of the family's 2925-position model. Lineage: Bacteria; Pseudomonadati; Pseudomonadota; Gammaproteobacteria; Enterobacterales; Enterobacteriaceae. The record is from RNAcentral.
ACCAUCCUCCAAGGCUAAAUACUCCUGACUGACCGAUAGUGAACCAGUACCGUGAGGGAAAGGCGAAAAGAACCCCGGCGAGGGGAGUGAAAAAGAACCUGAAACCGUGUACGUACAAGCAGUGGGAGCACGCUUAGGCGUGUGACUGCGUACCUUUUGUAUAAUGGGUCAGCGACUUAUAUUCUGUAGCAAGGUUAACCGAAUAGGGGAGCCGAAGGGAAACCGAGUCUUAACUGGGCGUUAAGUUGCAGGGUAUAGACCCGAAACCCGGUGAUCUAGCCAUGGGCAGGUUGAAGGUUGGGUAACACUAACUGGAGGACCGAACCGACUAAUGUUGAAAAAUUAGCGGAUGACUUGUGGCUGGGGGUGAAAGGCCAAUCAAACCGGGAGAUAGCUGGUUCUCCCCGAAAGCUAUUUAGGUAGCGCCUCGUGAAUUCAUCUCCGGGGGUAGAGCACUGUUUCGGCAAGGGGGUCAUCCCGACUUACCAACCCGAUGCAAACUGCGAAUACCGGAGAAUGUUAUCACGGGAGACACACGGCGGGUGCUAACGUCCGUCGUGAAGAGGGAAACAACCCAGACCGCCAGCUAAGGUCCCAAAGUCAUGGUUAAGUGGGAAACGAUGUGGGAAGGCCCAGACAGCCAGGAUGUUGGCUUAGAAGCAGCCAUCAUUUAAAGAAAGCGUAAUAGCUCACUGGUCGAGUCGGCCUGCGCGGAAGAUGUAACGGGGCUAAACCAUGCAC